This 90-nucleotide transfer RNA is filed under the name Magnetospirillum sp. RNAcentral's name for it is "tRNA-Ser". It matches the Rfam family "tRNA". From Rfam's summary of the family: Transfer RNA (tRNA) molecules are approximately 80 nucleotides in length. RNAcentral also lists the same sequence under 2 other names. The record is from RNAcentral. Lineage: Bacteria; Pseudomonadati; Pseudomonadota; Alphaproteobacteria; Rhodospirillales; Rhodospirillaceae.
GGACAGGUGGCCGAGUGGCUGAAGGCGUCAGUCUCGAAAACUGAUAUACCGGCAACGGUAUCGUGGGUUCGAAUCCCACCCUGUCCGCCA